UUGUGGAGGAGGACGCCGAAGGUGGGGCUAAUGACUGGGGUGAAGUCGUAACAAGGUAGCCGUACCGGAAGGUGCGGCUGGAUCACCUCCUAACAGGGAGACAACAAAAUGUUAAAUAUUAAUUUUGUCACCUUAGGUCGAUCGGUAUCUCACAUUCUUAAUUUAUUAAGGAUUUUAUUUCCUAAGUUUUUUCUAGGUCACACCCAUUAUUUUCCCUGGGCCAUUAGCUCAGGUGGUUAGAGCGCACCCCUGAUAAGGGUGAGGUCCCUGGUUCAAGUCCAGGAUGGCCCAUAUCUCUAUGUUGGGGGUAUAGCUCAGUUGGUAGAGCGCCUGCUUUGCAAGCAGGAUGUCAGCGGUUCGAGUCCGCUUACCUCCACUGAUUACCACCUCUUCCAUAAUUUACAGAAGGGAAAUUUUUGAGUUGUGAUCAUAUUCUGAACGAAUCUAGCUUCCUAAUCAAACUUAUUAAGAUGCUGGACUCAUUGAAUUAAAUUCAUUGUUUUCAGAGAACCUUGACAACUGCAUAGAUUAUUUUUAAAGACAAUAAGCAUCUUUAAUGAUGCAGAUUUUUUAUUUGUGCGAAUGCAUUAAUAACAAUUCUAUUAAGCUGAUGCUUCAAUUUAUGAAGUUAUUGGUCAAGCUACAA
Molecule: unclassified non-coding RNA, 646 nt
Filed under: uncultured Prochlorococcus sp.
Lineage: Bacteria; Bacillati; Cyanobacteriota; Cyanophyceae; Synechococcales; Prochlorococcaceae
Description: partial 16S-23S ribosomal RNA intergenic spacer; may also contain 16S ribosomal RNA and 23S ribosomal RNA
Rfam family: tRNA (bases 304-376)
Source: RNAcentral